This 64-nucleotide transfer RNA is filed under the name Cavia porcellus (domestic guinea pig). It matches the Rfam family "tRNA". Rfam says of the family: Transfer RNA (tRNA) molecules are approximately 80 nucleotides in length. Their secondary structure includes four short double-helical elements and three loops (D, anti-codon, and T loops). The record is from Rfam by way of RNAcentral. Lineage: Eukaryota; Metazoa; Chordata; Mammalia; Rodentia; Caviidae.
UGGGAUUUAGCUCAGUGGCAUAAGCACCUGCCUUGUAAGCAGGCAGUUGUGAGUUCAAUCCCUG